CAUAUAGAUCGAUCAGGAGCAGACUAGCUAGAGGAAGCUAGCUUUGCGCACGGUGCAGCUUGGCGUAAAAGUAAUUCGUCGAGUUCAGCCAGCAAGUUUCUUCGUCGUCGUUCGUCGUUGAUCAUCGCCGUUGCCGGAAAGUACUCGACGACGCUAUCUGGGCCAACAGCGGCGUCUGCCUAGGUCUUCGCGGCGCUGUUGGUGGUGUUCACGGCGGCGCUCGAGUGCAUGGAUUGCUAUGUGACUACAUCUCUGCUGCUUGGAUUGAAGUUUCGUUGGGCGUGAGUGCACGCGAGGAGUGCAUCUGGACGUUCCCGAUCUGCUCGCUCCGGUGCCUCUUGAGGUCCCGAUUUGACUACAAGCUGGUGGAUCUGGGUUCUCCCGAGGGUGAAGUCCAAGGGGCCCCAAUGGAUAAGGACGUGACCGGCAAGCGGGAGGCCACCACUACCAGCGCCCUCAAGCUCUACCACUAAUCAUUUAUCUAGACCACAUCACCACGUCGAGUAUAUUGGUAUGUCCUAGCCAUCCUUGCGAGCUCCAAUAAUUUUCAUUUGCUUUAAUUCCCAAUCUGGUUCGUAGCAAAAAUACAGGCCUCCCGGGUGUAGAAUUUUUGGUCAGAUUCAUGGGCUGCUUCAUAUUGUUAAACCAUGGAAUAAUAUCAGAUCCUUCGUGGACUGAAUUGUUGGAUUUCCCCCUUCUUGUCAGAUGUACAUCACCAUUUGUUUCUGAAACCAAGUCAUAUUUGUCGGAUUUCUACUUUUCAGAGAAAGCAGAUAAUUAUUUCAAUUUUAAAAAUUGGUUCUAAUUUUGGUUCAUCAUCUGCACCAUAUGCAAAUACACAUCUAUUAUUCAGAAAAGGUUUUGUUCUGUCAAUCAGGGUCAUACUAACUGCAGCUGGUAGCUGCUCUAAACAUUGUUGUAAUGUUACUACUUAAUAAUGAUUGUGGAGGUACUGCUAACAUUUCCUACUAGAGAAAAGACGCAGCCGAGCCUGAGAAGGGCGCUAGCCUAGUCCGACUUUGAAUUAACAAAGCCAUCAACCAACCAGGAUACAACUGCAACAUACAUCAAGAAGCAAGAACAAAAAGCGGCAAGAUACAGAGGCGCUGGAAAGCAGCUUACAAAGCCUCAAACACUUCAGGAAGGAUCUUACAAUGGAAUACAUAGCUGAAGAAGUCGAGGUCCUCCAACAUGACUAGACAGGGACAAAAUCAAAGCCAGCUCUAUAGAGGGAAUGAAGAAGCACAAACAAUACCUUUCAUCACCAAACACUAAAGGACCUCGGCAAGGCACACCCAUCCAACUCCGUCUCCGAAGGAGGCCACUACCUUCCUGUGAUAUUGUGUUUAGUCUCUCAUUUCUACUUGUAAGACUACAUCUAGUCUAAGUGUAGUGACUACAGGAAGAAGUAUGUUAUCCAUCUAUACUAGUUACAAUAGGUAUUGUUGUCACUAACUUUCUACAGAAUUUAGCCACCACAUAUUAUUGUUCUUAUUUUCUUUAGCUAGUGCAUUUUGUCAUCCUUGGUCCUUAUUGUGGUGGUUGAACACAUGGUUUAUUGGAACAAAUGCUACUUUUGAAAGCAGAGAUGUGGUAAAGUUA
Molecule: long non-coding RNA, 1602 nt
Organism: Triticum aestivum (bread wheat)
Lineage: Eukaryota; Viridiplantae; Streptophyta; Magnoliopsida; Poales; Poaceae
Exons: 2
Source: RefSeq, a predicted model, not a curated record